GAUGAACGCUGGCGGCGUGCCUAAUACAUGCAAGUCGAGCGAACAGACGAGGAGCUUGCUCCUCUGACGUUAGCGGCGGACGGGUGAGUAACACGUGGAUAACCUACCUAUAAGACUGGGAUAACUUCGGGAAACCGGAGCUAAUACCGGAUAAUAUAUUGAACCGCAUGGUUCAAUAGUGAAAGACGGUUUUGCUGUCACUUAUAGAUGGAUCCGCGCCGCAUUAGCUAGUUGGUAAGGUAACGGCUUACCAAGGCAACAAUGCGUAGCCGACCUGAGAGGGUGAUCGGCCACACUGGAGCUGAGACACGGUCCAGACUCCUAGGGGAGGCAGGAGUAGGGAAUCUUCCGCAAUGGGCGAAAGCUUGACGGAGCAACGCCGCGUGAGUGAUGAAGGUCUUCGGAUCGUAAAACUCUGUUAUUAGGGAAGAACAAAUGUGUAAGUAACUAUGCACGUCUUGACGGUACCUAAUCAGAAAGCCACGGCUAACUACGU
RNAcentral lists this ribosomal RNA (496 nucleotides) under uncultured bacterium. RNAcentral describes it as "partial 16S ribosomal RNA". It matches the Rfam family "Bacterial small subunit ribosomal RNA", at positions 28 to 506 of the family's 1533-position model. The record is from RNAcentral.